GGAUGUGAAGGUAAUCUGGCUGAGACAUCUGUUACCCCAUUGAUUUCCAGGGUUGAUUUGCUGAUCUGGCAGGCUAGGCAAGUAUUUCCUUCUUCCCUCAAUGCUUCACAUGCUUCCCUCCAGAAACUGUGUACUUGGACAAAGAGAAUGACCACCCCUGAUAGAGGAGGACUGUUUUCUUGGUCAAGAGUAUAUAAGUAGCUGAGCUCCCCUGAUAGAACCUCCAAAUAAGCUCUAAAGAUAAUCUAAGGAGGUGCACCAAAUAUGCCAAAUAAACGCAGGGGGUCCU
RNAcentral lists this small nuclear RNA (289 nucleotides) under Chinchilla lanigera (long-tailed chinchilla). RNAcentral's name for it is "7SK RNA (ENSCLAG00000021772.1)". It matches the Rfam family "7SK RNA". Rfam says of the family: 7SK was discovered as an abundant small nuclear RNA in the mid-70s but a possible function has only recently been suggested. Two independent studies have found that 7SK RNA binds the CDK9/cyclin T complex (known as elongation factor P-TEFb). P-TEFb activates transcription by phosphorylating the C-terminal domain of RNA polymerase II. Lineage: Eukaryota; Metazoa; Chordata; Mammalia; Rodentia; Chinchillidae. The record is from Rfam by way of RNAcentral.